AGACUACUAUAAUGUGCUCUACAUGGGACAUCUUGAGAACAGUCUGGAAACAGAAAUAAAAGUUCAAUUUGCAUUUGAUACAAUCUCAGGCAGAAAAUAUUGUCUAAACAUGGCCAUCAUGAAAAUGUUCUGUCAUAACCGUUGACAAUCCUCGAAUACAAUAAUGAUACCAGCAUCUUUAUCUGUUUGGC
Long non-coding RNA from Rhineura floridana, 191 nucleotides. RefSeq lists it as uncharacterized. Lineage: Eukaryota; Metazoa; Chordata; Lepidosauria; Squamata; Rhineuridae. The transcript is spliced from 3 exons. The record is from RefSeq and is a predicted model, not a curated record.